GUGUCAGCCGCCGCGGUAAUACGUAGGUGGCAAGCGUUGUCCGGAUUUAUUGGGUUUAAAGGGUGCGUAGGCGGUUCCUUAAGUCAGUGGUGAAAUACUUCAGCUUAACUGGAGAGGUGCCAUUGAUACUGGGGAACUUGAGUACUGAUGAGGUAGGCGGAAUGGACGGUGUAGCGGUGAAAUGCUUAGAUAUCGUCCAGAACACCGAUAGCGAAGGCAGCUUACUAAGGAGUAACUGACGCUGAGGCACGAAAGUGUGGGGAUCAAACAGGAUUAGAUACCCUGGUAGUCC
Molecule: ribosomal RNA, 292 nt
Filed under: uncultured bacterium
Lineage: Bacteria
Description: partial 16S ribosomal RNA
Rfam family: Bacterial small subunit ribosomal RNA
Source: RNAcentral